Long non-coding RNA from Oreochromis aureus, 5415 nucleotides. Lineage: Eukaryota; Metazoa; Chordata; Actinopteri; Cichliformes; Cichlidae. The record is from Ensembl.
CAGUAUUUUCAGGUGUUCUCAGGCAAACGCCACAUGAGCUGCACGUCACUGGUCUGUGAGCACACUAAUGGACUUCAUGUCAUCCUCAAAGAGUCCUUUGCUUAUAGUUUUGUCAGAGACAUGAACAUCAAACAUUCCCACUGGCAGGACUUCUGUAGCCAGUGCUCCUUAGAUUCAUAUUCUUCACACAGUUUAACUGACUGUGGGGUAUACUGUGACAAUGAAGUGUUCUUAUAUCUUGUGUGAUAUCAUUUAAAAUUAUUCUAGUAUGUUACUGGAAAGUGUUGCUAAAAACAACUUUUCAAACAUCAUCCUGUUAUUUUUUUUUCUUUUUCUUAUUUUACUGGUUUAGUAAGUGUUUUAUAGUAUUUUAUGUAACUGUAACUACUUCAGUCAAAAUGAAAGUAAAAUUGCAGCUAAUGCACGUAAGAUGAAAGAAAUUGAAAGGACAACAGAGUGUAGAGACCAGCUUAAACACACCACCUCAUCGUGUUUUCAUUCUUCACCAGUACAGCACGUCAGUUCUUCCUCCAUUCACAAAGCAGUGAUGGCGUGCAUCAGAUUCAUCAAGUGCUUGUUUCUCUUUAUAAUUCUGUUCAUCUUAUCUCUCCUGUGCCUAAUUUUCAUGGCAAGCUGGGCCAAGGACCAAGUGGAAAAUGACGUGUAUAGAAGAGCAGCAAUCACAAAAAUAUUUAAUCUCGCAAGUUCACUGGAUAACAAGGAAAAACUGGAAAUAUUCGAGAAAACCCUUCAAACAGCGAUAGAAGAGGAAGAGAGACUGAAGGAAGAAUCCAAGUACAAAAUGAGAAUCACCUCAAAACAAUUCAAUGAAAAAAUGAAAGAAUUUGUUCCUCAAUUGGAAGAAGCAAUGUUAUUAUCAUAUGAUUCUCCACCACUGCAGGAAAUAAUUGACAUUGCAUUUUACAUGAUCAAAAAAACCAGAGCUUACAUAGACAAGAAGCUGGAUUUGCUGCAAGAAUAGAGAACUCGGAAAAGAUACAUGAAAGGAGUAAAUGAUGAGCUUCAGAAAAUUGUAAGAGAAACAAUAAAUUGAACUUGUGUUUCUGUUUUCAUUUGCUGACCUAUGUAACGUAUAUCAUGUAUUUGUGAAAGGACAUAAUCUGAGAUGUUUUUGUUACUUUCUCUAAUUGUAUACUUCUUAGAUGCAUAACAUCUUGGCCUAUAAUGUUCUCUGAGUGAUAUUAUAAAGUGAAAAGCUUUACUCCUGGUGUGAGGCCUAAGCAAGAGCACAGUUGAGCUCUUCAGUCUUGAUGCAAUAAUGACUGCAGUAGUGAAACCUGGAUCCUUGUGUAGGCAGCACGACUUGUCAGUUUCUUGCAGUUAUUUAAGUUCCAGUGUUGCAGUUGUUUAGGCUGUUUAACUUCCUUAUCACAAAGAGACCAGAAAAAGGCAGACCUGCAUAGUGUAUGAUCCGUUCUGUUCUGAAACUAAACCUGAGGUUUCCAAAUCUAGCUAAUGCUUCCACAUGUAUGAUCUGGUGUUGGCAGCAUGUAACCAGUCACAGACAUGAACAGGUCUACUGGCAAGUUGUACUCCCAUCAUGGAUUCUUUGCUGACAGUAAUAUUAUUUUGACUAAUUAACUAAUGUGAUCAAAACAAGAAUAAUGUAAACAUAUAAACACACAGAGUACAGUGUGUGUGUGUGUGUACUGUUAUUCCACACUAAGGACUAGAUGUUUUAGACUGGUGUUAAUGGGUGAGUUUAGUACAGAGCUACACUCAAUCACAUUAUAGACCACAAGAAACAAUACAUGUUCUUUGACUUGUAAAUCAUCAGUGAUGCCCUGGAAAAGAGAUCGAGCAAAAUUCAUGAAUAAAUAUGUAAUAAUACAUAAAAUUCUAUAUAGUCAUAAUAAUUUUUAUAGUUUUGUAAGCUGUUUUGUUGUUUUAUAGAAUACAUAUUACUAUAUAUGAUUAAAAAAAUUAAUCAUUUUACUACCACAAAAACACAUCAUAAGUAGACAUAAUCUAUGUACUAAUGUACAUCUAUUAUUUACUAAAACUAAAAUUUUAUAAAAAUUAUUGAUAGCGAGCUGCUGAAAAUAGGGGACCAGGCGUAAAGAUUGUCUGUUUAUGAAUUAACACAAAGACAGUAGAAUGUCUUUUUAGAACAUUCACACAAUUCCACCUAACUGCUCGGACCUGCUUUUGGUAUUUCAUGCUGCUGAGCUAUGACUGAACAAUCAUUUUAGGUAUUUUAAGUCAACAACAAGUCUUCAAAGAUUACAGCAGGUUCAGGUGUUCUCAGGCAAACGCCACUUGAGCUGCACGUCACUGGUCUAUAACUACACUAAUGGACUUCAUGCCAUCCUCAAAGAGUCCUUUGCUUAUAGUUUUAUCAGAGACAUGAACAUCAAACAUUCCCACUGGCAGGACUUCUGUAGCCACUGCUCCUCAGAUCCAUAUUCUUCACACAGUUUAACUGACUGUGGGGUAUACUGUGACAAUGAAGUGUUCUUAUAUCUUGUGUGAUAUCAUUUAAAAUUAUUCUAGUAUAUUACUGGAAAGUGUUGCUAAAAAAGCCUUUUCAAACAUCAUCGUGUUAUUGUUUUUUUCUUUUUCUUAUUUUACUGGUUUAUUAAUUGUUUUUAUAGCGUUUUAUGUCACAAAAAUAACUAAUGGGUCUCUAUUCCUAUAAAGUGGACCAGUAAAAAACUACUUCAGUCAAAAUGAAAGUAAAAUUGUAGCUAAUGCACGUAAGAUGAAAGAAAGUGAAAGGACAACAGAGUGUAGAGACCAGUUCAAACACACCACCUCAUCGUGUUUUCAUUCUUCACCAGUACAGCACGUCAGUUCUUUCUCCAUUCACAAAGCAGUGAUGGCGUGCAUCAGAUUCAUCAAGUGCUUAUUUGUCUUUAUAAUUCUGUGCAUCUUAUCUCUCCCGUGCCUAAUUUUCAUCACAAGCUGGGUCAAGAACCAAGUGUUUCAGGAAUUACUGAAAAGAGUACAAGAAGAAGUUGAUAAAUACAAGGAAGAUGAUGUGUAUAGAAGAGCUGCAAUCACAAAAAUAUUUAAUCAUGCAAAUUCACUGGAUAACAAAGAAAAACUGGAAAUAUUCAAGGAAACCCUUCAAACAGCGAUAGAAGAGGAAGAGAGACUGAAGGAAGAAUCCAAGUACAAAUUGAGAAUCGCCUCAAAACAAUUCAAUGAAAAAAAGAAGGAAUUUAUUCGCCAAUUGGAACAAGCAAUGUUAUUAUCAUAUUAUUCUCCACCACUGCAGGAAAUAGUUGACAUCGGAUUUCACAUGUUGAAAAAAACCAGAGCUUACUUAGACAAGAAGCUGGAUUUACUGCAAGAAUAGAGAACUCAGAAAAGAUAAAUGAAAGGAGUAAAUGAUGAGCUUCAGAAAAUUGUAAGAGAAACAAUAAAUUGAACUUGUGUUUCUGUUUUCAUUUGUUGACCUAUGUAACGUAUAUCAUGUAUUUGUGAAAGGACAUAAUCUGAGUUGUUUUUGUGACUUUCUCUAAUUGAAUACUUCUUAGUUGCAUAACAUCUUGUCCUAUAAUGGUCUCUGAGUGGUAUUAUGAAGUGAAAAGCUUUACUCCUGGUGUGAGGCCUAAGCAAGAGCACAGUUGAGCUCUUCGGUCUUGAUGCUAUAAUGACUGCAGUAGUGAAACCUGGAUCCUUGGGUAAGCAGCACAACUUGUCAGUUUUUUGCAGUUAUUUAAGUUCCAGUGUUGCAGUUGUUUAGGCUGUGUUUAACUUCCUUAUCAAAGAGAUCAGAAAAAGGCAGACCUGCAUAGUGUAUGAUCCGUUCUGUUCUGAAACUACACCUGAGGUUUCCAAAUCUAGCUUGUGCUUCCACAUGUAUGAUCUGGUGUUGGCAGCAUGUAACCAGUCACAGACAUGAACAGGUCUACUGGCAAGUUGUACUCCCACCUCAUGGAUUCUUUGCUGACAGUAACAUUAUUUUGAUCAUAUUAGCUAAUGUAAUCAAGACAAGAAUAAUUUAAACACAUAUAGUACAGUGUGUGUGAGUGUGUGUGUCAAUGUUUUAAUUUACUUCUUUAUUUAGAACAGUUAUUCUGAUUAGAAAAAUACUGCUACAAUGUAUACCAUUACAUAUUAACAUAUAUUGAGUUAGGUAAUAAAAACUGUGACAUUUAUGGGGAAAUAAAGCUGCUGUGGCUACUUGGUGACAGAAAUUCAGUUUUUAUAAAUUUGAAUGGUACAGUUCUGCCAUAAAAGUCCAAUCAGUAUCAAACAAUUACAAUUUAAGAAAAUUAAUUAUAUUGUUUAUGAUGUGUGGUAGAAUAGUUUCCUUAAUGUUUUGCAUAGCAUAUGAUUGUAAUUUGUAAUGUGAUCCUUAUCUUAUAAUUAUGACAUAAUUCAUGAAAUAUAUGAAUGAUUAAUGUGUUAUCUAAUCAUUAAGUUAUUUAAUUCAACAUGAAGGUACUGACUCUCUGGCUUUAUAUCAUUUAAAUGUACUGAUGAACUGAGCAGUUUUAUUCACUGAUUAAAGAGUUUGUAGUCACAGUAAAAUUUGAAUAAUACAUGAAUAUAUUUAUGAAAAAUUCAAUCUAAACAUUUGUGAAUAUUUUUUCUGUAACUGUAAAUUAGACCAACAACAGCCAUGUCGCCUUACAAAUUCACAAUAUGAUGGCCUCAUGUGUGAGUGGUGUGUAUGGUGUGCUCAAUACACACCCAUCCAGUGAGCUAAUAUUGAGGAUGAUGAUGGAGGACAAGACACUGGAAAUUUUCACAGACUGAGGCUUGCCUGUCAAGAAUUCCAGCACCAGUGGUUCGAGUCCCAACAAUAAAAGUGGCUAGUGUCUGUGGAUUAAUGGUAUUAAAUGCAAAAUUAAAGUCCAGAAAGAGUAGUCAGACAUAUACACUCCAAGUCAAAACUGUGGACACACCUUCUCAUUUAAUGGUUUUUCUUUAUUUUCAUGACUAUUUACAUUGUAGAUUCUCAGUGAAGGCACCGUUACACUUUUUUAUUUACUACAUAAUUCCAUAUGUGUUUAUUCGUAGUUUUAACUCAAAACACGUUUUAUAUUUUAGAUUCUUUAAAAUAGCCUCCCUUUGCUUUGAUUACUGCUUUGCACACUCUUGGCAUUGUCUCUAUGAGCUUCAUGAGGUCGUCACCUGAAAUGGUUUUCCCACAGUCUUGAAGAAGUUCCCAGAGAUGCUGAGCACUUGUUGGCCCUUUUGCCUUCACUCUGCGGUCCAUCUCAUCCUAAACCAUCUUGACUGGGUUAGGUGACUGUGGAGGCUAUUAUUAAAUUCCGUUCUUUUGAAUUCUUUUGACGGCAGAAAAAGACUGGACUCAGAGUGGUCAAAGCUCAAAAAAUAAUCUUUAUUUUACAUUUCCAGAAAUGGAGACCCGAACACAUGAAGACAAAAGCUCAGGGCUGAAAGCUUUAGAAGCCAGCAUGGUUAUAUAUAUAUUUC